This 1366-nucleotide long non-coding RNA is filed under the name Glycine max (soybean). RNAcentral's name for it is "long non-coding RNA (GMAX_LNC004022)". Lineage: Eukaryota; Viridiplantae; Streptophyta; Magnoliopsida; Fabales; Fabaceae. The record is from RNAcentral.
AUAUGGAUUAAAAACAAAUAUUAAUUAACGAUAUAUUAAAAUGAAAGAAAGUUAGUGAAUUUUCUCAAAAGUGAAAAACAUAGAAUUAUACAGUUACACAUGCAACAUAAAAAAAAUUAAAACAAUAUAGGUUUAGGUUGUAAUUUGUUGAAAAAGAUUAUGUUUGGAUCUUCUAUGACUAUGAGCACAUAAAUUGUGCUUAGCACCAAAAGUCAGUAAAAUUUGCUUAAAAAAGUAUUUCAAAAAUAGCAAAAUGAUACUUAAAUCUAUUUAAUUGCAUAAAUCCAAUAAAAAGGGUUAAAGAAAUUAACAUCCUAAGUUAAAUAUAUGCUUAAAAGGUAAGCGUAAAUGGUAAUGAUAAUUAUUGAUAAGUUGUCUUUCUUCGUUCCACCAGCUUAAAUUAACUUAGGUCAUGUUUGUCUUCACAUAGCUAGGAAAGACAUAAGUCCUCAUCGGUGAUCUCAACUUAACAGACUUGACUUAGAAAUAGACGUUGCCAUCGCUUUCGAUCAUUUGCUAAUCAUGUGGCAGAACCAAAUUAAGGAGAAUAUGUAGCCUAGGACAUUAAUUAUUCAAUAUGGUUGAGAGGUAGAUGGACAAAUUCAAUAUCAUAGGACACAGGGGAUGCAUCAAACUGACACUUUUUGGGAUCAAUGAAUCCUCAAUUGGUUUUUCGAUUUCUGUAGCAGUAAAGUGCGAUAAGAAUUAAUUUGUCAAUCUUCAUAUUUUCAUAAAUAAAUUUGAUUAUUUAUUCUUAUAUUAUGAUUUGUUUGUCAAUGAAACAAUAUAAGAAUGCAUCAAACAGUGUUGAAAGUCGUAGGUUUUAAUGGUGCACUCCUAUCAUACUGCAAUUAGCUAGGUUCUUAACUAGUCUCUGACAUUUUUCAACACAUUUGCUUGGACAGUUGGGCAAUAAACCAAUGGGUUUUGAUGUAAAAAACCAAUGACAACAACUUGAAGUAGGUUUACUCUUCACAUGCAUGUGGUCGAUGUUGUAUUAUUGAUUAUAUCAAAUGCUAUUACAAUUUUCUAUAAGUUUUCCUUUGCGUAUUGGCAGAAGAAUAAUCAAGAAGGGUUCUCAGUUAUGAACUUUGCAAGUACAUAUGAUGCGUGUUCCCUAAUCCUUGAUUACAGACAUUUCCCCUCAAAUUGUUCAUCCAAAAUGAAUUAUUUGCUCCUUCUUUUUUUGAGUUGAAAGAGACAUAAGUUCAACGUUGACUUAUUUCCUCUACAUGUAUUCACAUCACAUACGUGAUAAAUGAAUUGUAGUACUUACACAAUUUUUUUAUAAUAUUAUUUUUAUUUUUUUCUAUUACAUACAUUAACUAUAUUAUCACACGUCCCAAUCUCGCUCUUUUCUUUCCUG